AACGAACGCUGGCGGCAUGCCUAACACAUGCAAGUCGAACGAGACCUUCGGGUCUAGUGGCGCACGGGUGCGUAACGCGUGGGAAUCUACCCUUGGGUUCGGAAUAACUCAGAGAAAUCUGAGCUAAUACCGGAUGAUGUCGCAAGACCAAAGAUUUAUCGCCCAAGGAUGAGCCCGCGUAGGAUUAGCUUGUUGGUGAGGUAAAAAGCUCACCAAGGCGACGAUCCUUAGCUGGUCUGAGAGGAUGAUCAGCCACACUGGGACUGAGACACGGCCCAGACUCCUACGGGAGGCAGCAGUGGGGAAUAUUGGACAAUGGGCGAAAGCCUGAUCCAGCAAUGCCGCGUGAGUGAUGAAGGCCUUAGGGUUGUUAAAGGGCUCUUUUUACCCGGGGAAUGAUAAUGACAGUACCGGAGAAUAAGCCCCGGCUAACUCCGUGCCAGCAGCCGCGGUAAU
RNAcentral lists this ribosomal RNA (456 nucleotides) under uncultured bacterium. RNAcentral describes it as "bacterial SSU rRNA". It matches the Rfam family "Bacterial small subunit ribosomal RNA", at positions 29 to 524 of the family's 1533-position model. The record is from RNAcentral.